UGGACCUGGAAAGAGAAAAAAGGUAUUAGCUUUAGCAUACAGAUACUAUCUUCAUUCACUUAGAAAUAUUUGAGUGCCCACUGUCUGCCAGGUACUGGGUAAGACUCCACUUUAUCUUACUGUUUUUUUUUUUAUAGCUGGUCUUCUCCUGACAUAUUACAUAUUUGUUUAUUGUCUAUCUUCCCCAUUAGAAUGUGAGCUUCAUGAAGGCAGACACCUUGUUUUGUUGACUGUGUAUGUCCAGCACCUGGAAACAUGCCAGGAACAUUAUCAGGGGCUCCAUAAAAUGUUAUGAAUCAUAGAGCCUGUUGCUGAGUACAGACUAGCUACCUGAAAAAUGUGGGCAAGGAGGCAUUCUAAUUGAAAGGAAUGUUAUAUGAUAGAAUGGAGUUUUUUGCUCUAAUUGCAAUCAUGUAAAUAUGGUUACAGCAAACACAGUGUGAGUGUGUUUGCGGGGGCAGAGGUGGAGAGCAGUUCUGGGAAAUUAAGUAGGGGCCAGAUCAUGAAUGUUUAAUGUAACUGAACAGAUUUAUGCAGGAAAGUAAUAUGCUCAUUCAUUUGUGAAGAAUGGAGAGGACAGGGCUAAAACUGAAAGAUACUAUUUUUGGAGGGUGAUAUGAUAGUUAAAGCAUGAAUCUUGGCUUAAAUUAAAAUUAACAGUUGGGAAGAAGUACAUAGAUUAGAACUGUUAGGAAUUGAUAACUGGAUGUAUGAAGUAAUGAAAAGAGGGGUUAAAAUUAAUAUCCAAGUUUUUACUUCAGUGAAUUAUGUGGACUCAGAGAGUUACAACUAGGCCCAGUUUUGAAUAUUAUGAAUUUCAGGUACCUGUGAGAAAUCAAACAGACAAGUCCAGGAGACAGAAAGGGAACAAAGUAUAAGAUAAUUCAUUCUGUAUAUAUCAACUGCUACCUUGGCACUCUUUUUACUCAACAGAUUCUACACUCAAGUCUGGGAGAUGCUGAGUUAAGUUAGUACAAGAUGUCUCUGAGAGCACUACUGUGCAACAUGAAUUUCCACGCAGGGGAUAUAUAGUUAUCACUUUAAUUCUGAAGCACACCUGUUAUGAUCGAUGCCCCACACAAUACACACUGGGAAGCACUGUUUUACCUCUUAAAAAAUGGUGGUACAUGGGAUGAGAAAAUUAAAUUUCUUUACUGCAAAUAAGAAUUGCUGCCAUUUGUAGAGAGAAUUUUAGUGUCACUUCUACUCUAUUGUAGGAAUAUAAGAUGACAUAACCCCACCGGAGCUAUUUUUGCCAUUACCUUUAUUAAACAGCCAUCACUGCAAUGCCACACUAUUCCUUCAAUUUUACCCUCUUUGCAAUCUUCAAACCAGGACACGAGAUCAUUGUGCUUCAAUGAAGGUAGAUUUCUUAUUUGAAAUGCUCCAUGUGGUAUAAGAAGAUGUAAUGGAUGUUUCUUGCUCCCUAACCCAUAUGGGUUUCCAUUGAUAUUUGUUCCUAUGAGUUCC
RNAcentral lists this long non-coding RNA (1470 nucleotides) under Homo sapiens (human). Its description in RNAcentral is "LNC_000945". Lineage: Eukaryota; Metazoa; Chordata; Mammalia; Primates; Hominidae. The record is from RNAcentral.